UGCGGAGGAUGCAAGCGUUAUCCGGAUUCAUUGGGUUUAAAGGGUGCGUAGGCGGGCUAUUAAGUCAGUGGUGAAAUCCUGCAGCUUAACUGCAGAACUGCCGUUGAUACUGAUAGUCUUGAGUUUGGUUAAGGUAGGCGGAAUGUGUAAUGUAGCGGUGAAAUGCUUAGAUAUUACACAGAACACCAAUUGCGUAGGCAGCUUACUGAGCCGACACUGACGCUGAGGCACGAAAGCGUGGGGAUCAAACAGGA
RNAcentral lists this ribosomal RNA (254 nucleotides) under uncultured prokaryote. RNAcentral describes it as "partial 16S ribosomal RNA". It matches the Rfam family "Bacterial small subunit ribosomal RNA", at positions 524 to 777 of the family's 1533-position model. The record is from RNAcentral.